This 331-nucleotide long non-coding RNA is filed under the name Gallus gallus (chicken). Lineage: Eukaryota; Metazoa; Chordata; Aves; Galliformes; Phasianidae. The record is from RNAcentral.
CCCUCAGAAGGUACUUGAGGACCCCAAGGGGGAACUUGAGGACCCCAGGAGGAGCCCAGGGCCCCCCAAAUAGAGCUUGGAGACCCCAAGAGUUGCUCAGGGACCCCAAGGAGGAACUCGAGUCCCCCAGGAGGAGCUCAGGGACCCCCAGAAGGAGAUCAGGGACCCCCAAAUAGAGCUUGGAGACCCCAAGAGUUGCUCAGGGACCCCAAGGAGGAACUUGAGGACCCCAUAAGGAGCCCAGGGCCCCCCAAAUAGAGCUUGGAGACCCCAGGAGUUGCUCAGGGACCCCAAGGAGGAACUUGAGGACCCCCGAAGGAGCCCAGGGCCC